Non-coding RNA from Armillaria mellea, 135 nucleotides. The record is from the annotation of a GenBank genome assembly. Lineage: Eukaryota; Fungi; Basidiomycota; Agaricomycetes; Agaricales; Physalacriaceae.
GCCCAUCUAGCUCAACGGGAUAGAGCAUCAGAGAUAUAGAUGGAUAGUACACAAUGUGAAAGACAGUUAAUGUCCUUCCCAUUGUGUGCUGUCUGAUUCUUCUGACUGAUGUGAGUUCGAGUCUCACGAUGGGCG